This 254-nucleotide ribosomal RNA is filed under the name uncultured bacterium. RNAcentral's name for it is "partial 16S ribosomal RNA". It matches the Rfam family "Bacterial small subunit ribosomal RNA", at positions 524 to 776 of the family's 1533-position model. The record is from RNAcentral.
UACGAAGGGGGCUAGCGUUGUCCGGAAUUAUUGGGCGUAAAGAGCUCGUAGGCGGUCUGUCGCGUCGAUCGUGAAAACUUGGGGCUUAACCCUGAGCUUGCGGUCGAUACGGGCAUGACUGGAGUUCGGCAGGGGAGACUGGAAUUCCUGGUGUAGCGGUGAAAUGCGCAGAUAUCAGGAGGAACACCGGUGGCGAAGGCGGGUCUCUGGGCCGAUACUGACGCUGAGGAGCGAAAGCGUGGGGAGCGAACAGG